Molecule: long non-coding RNA, 465 nt
Filed under: Spirodela polyrhiza (greater duckweed)
Lineage: Eukaryota; Viridiplantae; Streptophyta; Magnoliopsida; Alismatales; Araceae
Description: long non-coding RNA (SPOL_LNC000079)
Source: RNAcentral
AUUAAAAGUGAGAAACCAAUAUAGCAUCAUGAGGGCAUCAUUUUCCCGAUUUUUGUGAAGUUUGAAUUCGAACAAAGGACGGCACCAUUUCCUUCAAACGACAUGCAAGGUUUUGAUAGAUGUAGAUCUCUGUUUCUUUUGCAAAUUUUCACUUGAGAAUAAUAAUAGUUUUAAUCAAUCAUUUUUACUUAUGUUUCACCACAGGAAAGACAUUUUUCUUUUUCUUUUUUUGGAUGUUUGUUGACACUAAAUCAUAAAUGGAUUGAAUUGAAAAUAACUACUGGUGCUGAAAGGGAGAAAUGUGAACAAAGCGAGCUUUUAUUACUGUUUUUUUCCUCUUUUCUUCCCUAAACCUGCAAAGUGUUUGUUAGAUUUCUUGUGAUGGCCUAAUUAUUUUUCUCUCUAUGUCAUUACUUUCUUACUCUAGCUCAAAUAUGUCAUGGUUAUUUCAAAAGUGAGGUUUUC